UUAGAGUUUGAUCCUGGCUCAGAGCGAACGCUGGCGGCAGGCUUAACACAUGCAAGUCGAGCGGGCGUAGCAAUACGUCAGCGGCAGACGGGUGAGUAACGCGUGGGAACGUACCUUUUGGUUCGGAACAACACAGGGAAACUUGUGCUAAUACCGGAUAAGCCCUUACGGGGAAAGAUUUAUCGCCGAAAGAUCGGCCCGCGUCUGAUUAGCUAGUUGGUGAGGUAACGGCUCACCAAGGCGACGAUCAGUAGCUGGUCUGAGAGGAUGAUCAGCCACAUUGGGACUGAGACACGGCCCAAACUCCUACGGGAGGCAGCAGUGGGGAAUAUUGGACAAUGGGGGCAACCCUGAUCCAGCCAUGCCGCGUGAGUGAUGAAGGCCCUAGGGUUGUAAAGCUCUUUUGUGCGGGAAGAUAAUGACGGUACCGCAAGAAUAAGCCCCGGCUAACUUCGUGCCAGCAGCCGCGGUAAUACGAAGGGGGCUAGCGUUGCUCGGAAUCACUGGGCGUAAAGGGUGCGUAGGCGGAUCUUUAAGUCAGAGGUGAAAGCCUGGAGCUCAACUCCAGAACUGCCUUUGAUACUGGGGAUCUUGAGUUCGGGAGAGGUGAGUGGAACUGCGAGUGUAGAGGUGAAAUUCGUAGAUAUUCGCAAGAACACCAGUGGCGAAGGCGGCUCACUGGCCCGAUACUGACGCUGAGGCACGAAAGCGUGGGGAGCAAACAGGAUUAGAUACCCUGGUAGUCCACGCCGUA
This 754-nucleotide ribosomal RNA is filed under the name uncultured bacterium. RNAcentral's name for it is "bacterial SSU rRNA". It matches the Rfam family "Bacterial small subunit ribosomal RNA", at positions 1 to 804 of the family's 1533-position model. The record is from RNAcentral.